GAUGAACGCUGGCGGCGUGCCUAAUACAUGCAAGUCGAGCGAACAGACGAGGAGCUUGCUCCUCUGACGUUAGCGGCGGACGGGUGAGUAACACGUGGAUAACCUACCUAUAAGACUGGGAUAACUUCGGGAAACCGGAGCUAAUACCGGAUAAUAUAUUGAACCGCAUGGUUCAAUAGUGAAAGACGGUUUUGCUGUCACUUAUAGAUGGAUCCGCGCCGCAUUAGCUAGUUGGUAAGGUAACGGCUUACCAAGGCAACGAUGCGUAGCCGACCUGAGAGGGUGAUCGGCCACACUGGAACUGAGACACGGUCCAGACUCCUACGGGAGGCAGCAGUAGGGAAUCUGCCGCAAUGGGCGAAAGCUUUACGGAGCAACGCCGCGUGAGUGAUGAAGGUCUUCGGAUCGUAAAACUCUGUUAUUAGGGAAGAACAAAUGUGUAAGUAACUAUGCACGUCUUGACGGUACCUAAUCAGAAAGCCACGGCUAACUACGUG
RNAcentral lists this ribosomal RNA (497 nucleotides) under uncultured bacterium. RNAcentral describes it as "partial 16S ribosomal RNA". It matches the Rfam family "Bacterial small subunit ribosomal RNA", at positions 28 to 507 of the family's 1533-position model. The record is from RNAcentral.